UAAUUGAAGAGUUUGAUCAUGGCUCAGAUUGAACGCUGGCGGCAGGCUUAACACAUGCAAGUCGAGCGGUAGCACAAGGGAGCUUGCUCCCUGGGUGACGAGCGGCGGACGGGUGAGUAAUGUCUGGGAAACUGCCUGAUGGAGGGGGAUAACUACUGGAAACGGUAGCUAAUACCGCAUAACGUCGCAAGACCAAAGAGGGGGACCUUCGGGCCUC
Molecule: ribosomal RNA, 217 nt
Filed under: Serratia marcescens
Lineage: Bacteria; Pseudomonadati; Pseudomonadota; Gammaproteobacteria; Enterobacterales; Yersiniaceae
Description: partial 16S ribosomal RNA
Rfam family: Bacterial small subunit ribosomal RNA
Source: RNAcentral